GAUGAACGCUGGCGGCGUGCCUAAUACAUGCAAGUCGAGCGAACAGAUGAGGAGCUUGCUCCUCUGAUGUUAGCGGCGGACGGGUGAGUAACACGUGGAUAACCUACCUAUAAGACUGGGAUAACUUCGGGAAACCGGAGCUAAUACCGGAUAAUAUAUUGAACCGCAUGGUUCAAUAGUGAAAGACGGUUUUGCUGUCACUUAUAGAUGGAUCCGCGCCGCAUUAGCUAGUUGGUAAGGUAACGGCUUACCAAGGCAACGAUGCGUAGCCGACCUGAGAGGGUGAUCGGCCACACUGGAACUGAGACACGGUCCAGACUCCUACGGGAGGCAGCAGUAGGGAAUCUUCCGCAAUGGGCGAAAGCUUGACGGAGCAACGCCGCGUGAGUGAUGAAGGUCUUCGGAUCGUAAAACUCUGUUAUUAGGGAAGAACAAAUGUGUAAGUAACUAUGCACGUCUUGACGGUACCUAAUCAGAAAGCCACGGCUAACUACGUG
RNAcentral lists this ribosomal RNA (497 nucleotides) under uncultured bacterium. Its description in RNAcentral is "partial 16S ribosomal RNA". It matches the Rfam family "Bacterial small subunit ribosomal RNA", at positions 28 to 507 of the family's 1533-position model. The record is from RNAcentral.